AGCGUACACGGUGGAUGCCCUGGCAGUCAGAGGCGAUGAAGGACGUGCUAAUCUGCGAUAAGCGUCGGUAAGGUGAUAUGAACCGUUAUAACCGGCGAUUUCCGAAUGGGGAAACCCAGUGUGUUUCGACACACUAUCAUUAACUGAAUCCAUAGGUUAAUGAGGCGAACCGGGGGAACUGAAACAUCUAAGUACCCCGAGGAAAAGAAAUCAACCGAGAUUCCCCCAGUAGCGGCGAGCGAACGGGGAGCAGCCCAGAGCCUGAAUCAGUGUGUGUGUUAGUGGAAGCGUCUGGAAAGGCGCGCGAUACAGGGUGACAGCCCCGUACACAAAAAUGCACAUGCUGUGAGCUCGAUGAGUAGGGCGGGACACGUGGUAUCCUGUCUGAAUAUGGGGGGACCAUCCUCCAAGGCUAAAUACUCCUGACUGACCGAUAGUGAACCAGUACCGUGAGGGAAAGGCGAAAAGAACCCCGGCGAGGGGAGUGAAAAAGAACCUGAAACCGUGUACGUACAAGCAGUGGGAGCACGCUUCGGCGUGUGACUGCGUACCUUUUGUAUAAUGGGUCAGCGACUUAUAUUCUGUAGCAAGGUUAACCGAAUAGGGGAGCCGAAGGGAAACCGAGUCUUAACUGGGCGUUAAGUUGCAGGGUAUAGACCCGAAACCCGGUGAUCUAGCCAUGGGCAGGUUGAAGGUUGGGUAACACUAACUGGAGGACCGAACCGACUAAUGUUGAAAAAUUAGCGGAUGACUUGUGGCUGGGGGUGAAAGGCCAAUCAAACCGGGAGAUAGCUGGUUCUCCCCGAAAGCUAUUUAGGUAGCGCCUCGUGAAUUCAUCUCCGGGGGUAGAGCACUGUUUCGGCAAGGGGGUCAUCCCGACUUACCAACCCGAUGCAAACUGCGAAUACCGGAGAAUGUUAUCACGGGAGACACACGGCGGGUGCUAACGUCCGUCGUGAAGAGGGAAACAACCCAGACCGCCAGCUAAGGUCCCAAAGUCAUGGUUAAGUGGGAAACGAUGUGGGAAGGCCCAGACAGCCAGGAUGUUGGCUUAGAAGCAGCCAUCAUUUAAAGAAAGCGUAAUAGCUCACUGGUCGAGUCGGCCUGCGCGGAAGAUGUAACGGGGCUAAACCAUGCACCGAAGCUGCGGCAGCGACACUAUGUGUUGUUGGGUAGGGGAGCGUUCUGUAAGCCUGUGAAGGUGUACUGUGAGGUAUGCUGGAGGUAUCAGAAGUGCGAAUGCUGACAUAAGUAACGAUAAAGCGGGUGAAAAGCCCGCUCGCCGGAAGACCAAGGGUUCCUGUCCAACGUUAAUCGGGGCAGGGUGAGUCGACCCCUAAGGCGAGGCCGAAAGGCGUAGUCGAUGGGAAACAGGUUAAUAUUCCUGUACUUGGUGUUACUGCGAAGGGGGGACGGAGAAGGCUAUGUUGGCCGGGCGACGGUUGUCCCGGUUUAAGCGUGUAGGCUGGUUUUCCAGGCAAAUCCGGAAAAUCAAGGCUGAGGCGUGAUGACGAGGCACUACGGUGCUGAAGCAACAAAUGCCCUGCUUCCAGGAAAAGCCUCUAAGCAUCAGGUAACAUCAAAUCGUACCCCAAACCGACACAGGUGGUCAGGUAGAGAAUACCAAGGCGCUUGAGAGAACUCGGGUGAAGGAACUAGGCAAAAUGGUGCCGUAACUUCGGGAGAAGGCACGCUGAUAUGUAGGUGAAGUCCCUCGCGGAUGGAGCUGAAAUCAGUCGAAGAUACCAGCUGGCUGCAACUGUUUAUUAAAAACACAGCACUGUGCAAACACGAAAGUGGACGUAUACGGUGUGACGCCUGCCCGGUGCCGGAAGGUUAAUUGAUGGGGUCAGCGCAAGCGAAGCUCUUGAUCGAAGCCCCGGUAAACGGCGGCCGUAACUAUAACGGUCCUAAGGUAGCGAAAUUCCUUGUCGGGUAAGUUCCGACCUGCACGAAUGGCGUAAUGAUGGCCAGGCUGUCUCCACCCGAGACUCAGUGAAAUUGAACUCGCUGUGAAGAUGCAGUGUACCCGCGGCAAGACGGAAAGACCCCGUGAACCUUUACUAUAGCUUGACACUGAACAUUGAGCCUUGAUGUGUAGGAUAGGUGGGAGGCUUUGAAGUGUGGACGCCAGUCUGCAUGGAGCCGACCUUGAAAUACCACCCUUUAAUGUUUGAUGUUCUAACGUUGACCCGUGAUCCGGGUUGCGGACAGUGUCUGGUGGGUAGUUUGACUGGGGCGGUCUCCUCCUAAAGAGUAACGGAGGAGCACGAAGGUUGGCUAAUCCUGGUCGGACAUCAGGAGGUUAGUGCAAUGGCAUAAGCCAGCUUGACUGCGAGCGUGACGGCGCGAGCAGGUGCGAAAGCAGGUCAUAGUGAUCCGGUGGUUCUGAAUGGAAGGGCCAUCGCUCAACGGAUAAAAGGUACUCCGGGGAUAACAGGCUGAUACCGCCCAAGAGUUCAUAUCGACGGCGGUGUUUGGCACCUCGAUGUCGGCUCAUCACAUCCUGGGGCUGAAGUAGGUCCCAAGGGUAUGGCUGUUCGCCAUUUAAAGUGGUACGCGAGCUGGGUUUAGAACGUCGUGAGACAGUUCGGUCCCUAUCUGCCGUGGGCGCUGGAGAACUGAGGGGGGCUGCUCCUAGUACGAGAGGACCGGAGUGGACGCAUCACUGGUGUUCGGGUUGUCAUGCCAAUGGCACUGCCCGGUAGCUAAAUGCGGAAGAGAUAAGUGCUGAAAGCAUCUAAGCACGAAACUUGCCCCGAGAUGAGUUCU
This 2772-nucleotide ribosomal RNA is filed under the name Escherichia coli. RNAcentral describes it as "bacterial LSU rRNA". It matches the Rfam family "Bacterial large subunit ribosomal RNA". Lineage: Bacteria; Pseudomonadati; Pseudomonadota; Gammaproteobacteria; Enterobacterales; Enterobacteriaceae. The record is from RNAcentral.